AUGUGGGCACUUCCAAGUAAUCUCCAGAAUCGAUGCUUCAAAUACAUUGGAUGUUACUAAAACAACACAUAUAUGAACAAACAAACACCCACAAAAGAAGAUCAGAAGACCCGAUCGUUGUUAUAAACACACAACUUCUUUCUUUUUAGAAUAUCUUGUCUUCAUUUUCUUAUAACCUUCUAGUCUUUCUCUACUUUUUUCAGUCUCUAGUUUGAAAAGGAAAUGGAUCUUGUAAGUUCGAGUGAAUCAUUUAUUGAUGAUCUUAUAGAAGAUUACUGGUUCUUUGAGAACUUAUUUACCAGGAGAUCGAGAGCCUUAAGGGAUUGUCACUCAGAUCCUUACCCUUCUUCUUCUUCUUUGAGUUGUCAUGAAAAAAUGGGAGAUUCAGAUGAGAGGAAGUAUCUAGAAGCUUCCACAGGGCGAUGUUUGAACAGGGCAGCUUCGAUAGAUGGAAGAGAAGGAGGAUCCAAGAAGAAGCAGUUGUCUGAAAAUAUUAUGGUUCAAGAACAGACACCAGUUAUGUCUUUCUUGCAUAAGAAGGAACCUGUGGUUCUUCCCAAAUCUGGAUCUCGCUCGGCUCCGGGGAAGAUUCAAGAACCUUCCACAGAGCGCAGUUUGAUCCGGGCACCUUCUUUGCCACCUCGGAUAGACAAAAGAGAAAUGGAGUUAGAGGCAAAGAAGAUGAUUAAUAAGCUGACACGGCAGUUCUCUGAGAAGAUUAGGGUUCUAGAACCAACGACAACAACAAGUGAUCGUUUCUUGCAGAAGAAGAAAACACUUGCUCCAAAGAAAGCUAGUAGUACUGAAAGGAACAGAAGAGGAGCUGAUAGUAGUAGCAGUGUCAAGAUUAGUUUGCAAAGAACUCAAACGAUGCCAAAUAACAUUAGAAGAGGAGAAGAAGAACUUGAAGAUCAAGAAACCGACUCAAGAAUGGGAUUCUUGAUCCGUGAAGCUCUUGCAAGCUCACAAAAUGCUCAAAAUGUCUCAGGCAAUGAAAGGCAGAGACCACCGAGACACUUGAAACCAGAAGCAACUGUUUUGGUCAAACAAACAAGCCCAAGUCCCAAAACGCUGCGUAAAACGGUAAGCAGCAUAGAAACAGCCAAAGAGAUUCAAGGUUAUGAUGAUCAAGUGGUCGAGCCGCGUGUUGUGAACGGGUUAGCUACACCACCUAGGGUUCCGAAGGAUACAAGGAAAGAAAUGAAGGAUCAGAUCAAGUUUUGGGCUCGAGCUGUAGCUAGUAAUGUCCGACAAGAGUGCUGAAAAUUCUUCUAAUUACACUAAUUAACUCUGUUCUUGUAUGGCACUAUUCCGUACAAAUGAUUCUUAUCUUGAACUCUAUUGUGUUUAUUUUCUUUCUGAUCCUCCUGAAAUAAUGAGAUUCUUCUGUUUAUGUGAUGAUGAUGUUCUUUAGUUCUUUUUUUUUUGCAAGAAAAAAGUCAUGAUUAUCAUGAAGAAAAGGGGUUGAGAGAAAACAACAAGAACAUUAUAAUAAUGAAUCUUAAUGGAAAAUUUAUAUUUAAAACCAAAAGAAAGAACAUAAUUAUUUGUGAUUUGAUUGCGAUUUAUGCAGAGUUUCCUAGAAGCAUUCGAGUUAAAAUAUUCAUUCAGUCUGUUUCGAUAACAUUACACGUAAAAUACGUUGAAUCAUGUUGGCUUAAAUAGUUGUUUUAGUAAUAACGUGGAACUAAAACUAGAUUGAACCGGUUCUUGAUUGCAGAGAUCUCUCGUAAGACCUAAACGAUAAUAGUUUAUGCAUUUAUUCAACCUCAAGAAGUUGAUGUCAAAGUAAUAAACUAAUAAUCGAGCAUCCUUUGUUUUUUUGCUAAACUGUAAAUAUCAUAUUAAUGAACAAAAGAUUUUACAAGAAAGAUCUUAGUUCUGAAACCAUCAAGGCAAAAAAUUAAAACAAGAUGGAUCAAAGGCAAAUAUCACUAAACAGAGGAGUCUAUCUCAGCCACAUUUGCAUGAGGCUUUUGAAAGGCUUCCUUUGUUUCCUAGCUGAGAUGAUAUUUCGCACCUCUCUGUCGAUACCAUGGAAAACAGUUGCGCUCGAUAAGGAAGCUUGAUUGUGAAUCGAGCAUCCUUUGAAAAGAUAUACUAACGCAAAAUCUGAUAAUGUAAGUAUGUAAUACGCUAGUUUUCAUAGAAAAAAUGAUUCCAUGACCUGUCACCGUUAAUUACGGAUUACUGUUAUAGGAUUUGUAGUUGCUAGCGUAGUAAACUUCAAUACAUUGUUACUAUUUUUGCGACCAAAUCAUCUUACAAAAAGAGAAACACAUUUUAACUAACAGACAACUCUCACCAGACUUUUAUACUUUUUAACAGAUGACAGAAACACAGUAGCUUAGGUCAAAUCUCAAAGUAGAAAAAUAAAGAAACUACUGAAAGAAUUUAAAAAGGAAAACUAUAAAGUCAGAGAGAAAAAAACAAUUUACAAACAAGUAGCCGGUUGGUGUAAACAAAACAACAAGCCAUUUUUAGUUUUUCGUUUUUUUUUUUUUUGGCCAAUUUAGCUAAAAAUACAAAUUGGAGGAGGUAAUUGCAGAAGUAUGCAUUUUUUUAAAAUAAUUGGGGAACCAUGUCAAAUUUGUUUUGAGUUGCCAAUUCUCUCCUCUAGCCACAACUUCUUCGUUACGUAUAUGUUACCUGCUACGGGGAUGAUGCCAAAAAAAUUAUAAUGUAUUGAAACUGUUUCCAAAGGCAAUCAAUGUUUUGAAACCGGAUACAUUCAUUUAAAAUGAUGAUAUAAGAUAUUAAAACCGGAUGUAACUCUAAUAAUUGAAGAGAGAAGAGUUGUGAGAUAGUUUACAAAUUGUUUGUCAGAAAUGUGAUUGAUAGGAAGAUAUUUUACAACAUGUUGUUCCAUGCGCUGAAAGUGAUAUGAUGAGUGCUCGACGCCAUAGGACCAUGGUAUCCUGUUCAUCUUGAUAUAUCAAUCAAAAUACUAUCCAUGUUGGGAGAUGGUGUCGGUUCCCUGUCAAAUAACGGAGCUUGAAUGUUAAAAGUAUCUUAUUAAAGAAGGCAAGAGCUUGAGAUAUGCGUAUAUGUGUCAAUAGGCUGCAAUUAUAGCAUGAUUACAUUUAUCUAAUCCGAGUUUUACUAUUAGUAACCGGAUAUAUGACAGUAAGGUGCAUAUCUACAUAAGUGAAUUCCCGAUUCUUUGCAUUAUCAGAAGUUUUAAGAUUGUUUGCAUUAUUGAUACUUUCGAUAUGUGCAACAGUCCCGUCAUUAUUUGAUUUUGUUAUGUCUAUAAGGACACUUUAGGUAUUACUAUAAAAUGUACAGUCUCUUUACCUGUUACCUAAUUUACAUCUAUAAUUUUGCUAUCUAGUGCAAAAUCCCUUUUUUUUUUACAAAUUCCUAUUCUUACUUACCCCCAUGCGAAGACUAUCUCUACUACGCAUUACUUAAAUCACUCGAACAUAACUGAUUAAGAAAUAAAUAUUUAAGAAAAUGGUAGAUAAUAGAUACAUUGGAGUCUCUUGUUCUAAAAUAAAAAAUAACACAUCAAAUAUCAAACACAGAUUAAACAAGGGAAAUUGCAUCCUACAUCUAUCAAACAAAUUAUAAUUAUAAAUUCACCCAUUAAACAAUGGAACAUGCAAAGAACUCUCUAACUUGUAUCAUCAUACAGGGUAUGAUGACUGAAUGAAUAUCAUCAUACAGGGUAUCAUCAUCAUGAAUUAUCUUGUAAACAGAAAUAAUCUAACUUUUGAGAUGUGACAACUCUUAUUUUUUCCUUUUAGAACAAGUGACAGUUUCCGGUUUAUAAAUGUUUGGCUCAAUAAAACAAAACAAUUGACUAGUCAUUUAAAUUUUGCCUUUUUCAAAACCACUAUCCUGAUUUUGUCGUUGUCGUAUUUAACGAUUUUUUAAUGUGGGUUAACAGUUCAACUCAUAAAUCAUCAGUAAAUCAUCACAAGAACGACGUUCUCAUGUGGGAUACCUACCUAUGGAGCUGCUUUUGCCACAGAGUUUAUAAUUAUUUUAUUGAAAACAUGUAGUUACAGUAAGGGCUGGACACAGAUCGGAUAUCCAGAUUUUUGAAAGUAUUUGUGAUUUGAUUCGUAUGUUACGGAUAUUUAAUUUUUCGAUUUGCUUUACUUUGGAAAAAUACGGAUAUCCAGAAAAACGGAUAUCCGAAAAAUAAAUAGAUAUUUGCGGAUAUUUAUGAAUACUUACUAAUAUCUCAUCAUUUUGAUUAAUAUAAAUAAUUUUAAAAAUUCGAUACAGUUUUUUUUUAAAAUAUAUUUUUUACAUGAUAUAUAAAAUAAAAAUUAGAAGAAGUAUUGAAACUAUAUAUUUUGUAAAUUUUAAACUUAGUUAACAAUUAUAAUAGCACAAAACUUAAGAAAAAAGUUAUAAUUUUCAUAAACAUUUUCUCUUUCUUUUUAUGUACUACUUUUAUAUAAGUAAUAAUGUGAAUAGAAUUUGUCAAAUCAUAUGUUAGAAUAAUAAUUAUAUAAACUUAUACAUUUAAAACUUUUAAUAUAAUCAAGAUAUACAUGUAUUUAUAUAUUGCCGGAUCAGAGCGGAUAUCCGCUUUCCAAAAAUUUAAUAUUUGUGAUUUGUUUUGAUUUUAACGGAUAUUAAUUUUUGAUAUUUGGUUUGCUUCGAAAGUUUACGGAUAUCCAAAAUUUUUGGAUUGAAUCGAAACGAAUAACAAAUCAAAUCAAAUUUAACGGAUAAAAUGUUAAGCCUUAGUUACAGUCACAUUUGGUCCAAAAAAAAAACAUUGUUCCCAUGUCUUAAAACAAGGGGAAAUCAAGGAGUACACAAGAAAGAAAAAAACAAGAUCCCUUAGGACUUGGGAGUUAGGAUGCUUUCUAAAAAUCUUCAGCCCAUAAUACUUUCUCAAUGCUGCAAACUUUUGUUAUUCCUUUGUUUUUCUAUUCCGAUAUAUGCAUAUCUUUUCUCCUCAACUGAUUCAUUCAUUCCUCUCUCUCAAAACCCUAAUAUCUCUGAGAAGUAUUUCUGGAUACCCUAAUUCACAAACCCAAAUCGAUCCACCGUUGAUUGAUCUCUUUUUGAAAUAGUUUAUAAAAGCUUGUGUUUAUUAAUUGACAUGAUAUCAUAUAUGUAUAUACAACUCAAAGUAUAAACCUAACCGAAAUAGAUAAAUCUUAAAAUAUUGAUCCAAUAGAAUUAGGAUUAUAUCCUCUAGCUUAAUGCCCCCCUCCCUCUUAAAUUUGUAAUAUCUUGAAUGUCCAACUUGAAAAGGAAAUAUUAAAAUGUGGGAGUUGGCAACGCUUUAGUAAGUAAGUUUUGGGUUGUUGUUUUGUUGAUAUGUACUUAAUAGUAACUAGUAAGUAGUUUAUAUUAAACCACAUCAUAAUCAUAUGACUAUCAUUUUUAACAUGCUUCGUCUUUUUUCAUGAAAUAUUGGAUUCUUACCUAUGUGGAUUGCCGAUUGACCAUCGCAAAAUAAACACAUUGAUGAUUAUGAAAAAAAAAUAAACAUUAGAAGAAAUUUGAGCAAUUUAAGUUCACAAGUUGAAUCUUCCAUAGGUCGAUAUUUGGUUUCGACAAAAGAUUGUGAAACAGUUUUUUUUUUGUCUCCCAUGAUACUAAAGAGUCGUCAAAAGGACUACAUACACACUAAAAGAACUUCUUUUAACUGGAAAAGCCGACCAAUUAGAAUCGAAACAAGCUGUCAAUCGCAUGUCAUAGUUCGACUUGAGCAUAACUAAUCCACACAACCUUUUAAGUAUCUUACCGCACAUUUUCUGCAUGAAUUAAGAUGAAAUAUGGACAAUGCAGAUGAGUGAAAGCAAGAUAGAUCGAACUAUCUAUACUUGCUUGGAUCGGUAAGCAGUGUUCAUUCAUCAAGAGCAAGACCAUAACCGUUUAUUAGAAUGUUUAUAUAUGAUACUCUUUAUAAGACUUUUACUAGUAAGACCAUAACCCUUAAGGUCAAAAGCUCUAAUACCAUUAUCAAUGUCAAGUCAAAAAUUAAAGACAAUUGAAUCAAUGUGUUCCAGAUUCCUAUGGUCUGGCAACAUCGAAAACAGAACAGCAUUAAAGGUCGCUUGGAAUACUAUCUGCUUGCCCAAGAGUGAAAGUGGAUUAGGUUUGAGAAAAUUUACUCAAUGGAACAAGGUUCUCUGCCUCAGAUUCAUUUGGUUAUUAUUCUCUAACUCUGACUCUUUAUGGAGUAAGUGGCACAUGCACCAUUACCUGAGCAAUACUAUUUUUUAGGCCAUCACUCCAAAGAAUUCAGAUUCUGCAAUUUGGAAGUCCAUACUAUCGCCAAGCCCCUUGCUGAUAAAUUCAUCAAAUGCAGUAUCAACAAUGGCUAUGUCGCCUCUUUUUGGUAUGACAGUUGGACACCGCUAGGCAAGCUAAUUGAAUUCAUCGAACCUACUGGUCCUAGGGACCCAAACCUUCACAUUUCAGCCUCUGUGGCGGAUGCCUGCAAUUCCAAGGGAUGGAAGUUGCCUUCACCUCGUUCAGAAAACGCUCUAACCCUGCAUAUACAUCUAACGACAUUGAGUUUGCCUAACCAAGCUCUUGGGACUGACACUUAUCAUUGGAUAAUUAAUGCUACGGACUGCAGGGGUUUCUCCUCGACAAAAACUUGGGAAGCUCUAAGACUGCGAGCUCCUGUCAAGCAGUGGAAAAUGUUAGUAUGGGUCAGUGGCUUGAUCCCUAGACAUGGAUUCAACAUGUGGCUAGCUCACAAGAGGGAGACUAGCAACGUGGGGUAAAAUCCUAACUGUUGCCUUUGUAACAGCUUCGAGGAGACUCGGGAUCACUUGUUCCUGUACUGUGACUUUGCUAUGAAUUUGUGGAACCAGGUUUUCUCGCGGCUCGACAACAACAGACGUACCUUCAUCUCUUGGGAAGAACUCCUCUCCUGGACUCGACGAUCGACUUCAUCAGCGCCUUCGUUGCUCAAGAAACUCGUGGUUCAAGCUGCUGUCUACAAUAUUUGGCGACAAAGGAACUCGGCCCUACACAGCAACGGACACGCCUCUACUCAACAAACUUUCAAGAUGAUAGACAGAGAUGUGAGGAACACAAUAUCAGCAAGUCAGACAUAGGAGAAAGUUUCAAACUCUUAAUUAUGUCUUAUUGGAUUAGGUGAUUUUUUUCAAAAUUCAUAAUCUGUGUUUUCUUUGUUUUUUAUUCUUUUUUGCUAAGGGAACACUUUCUUAGGCUUAUAAACCUAAACUUUUCAUUUUUUUAAUGAAUAUUUAGUAAAAAAAAACAAGACAGUGAAGAAUACCUCCGAAUUAGAAGAGAUUGAACUUUGGUUCGGGCAUUGACCAUUUUAGUCUGAUGUGUUUUUCCCCUGUUAUGUUGAUGGGCUACUAAAUGGGCAUUUACUAUUCAAUGCUCUAAAGGAUAAUAAUUCAAGGGCUUUCUAUAACUGUAUUUUAUCUUUCACUUUUGUGGUGAUACUAAUCACAAUAUAUUUUAAUCUGCCGUUUACUUCUUGUUCUAUUGAACUUGGUGUUUCAACCAAAGAAAAUAAUAUCAUUUUGAUAAAAAUAAGACAUUACACAAUUCAACUAGGAUCUUUUCACUCUUGUUUUACAAAAUGAUCUUGUUUGGUAUUUUGCUUUAUUAAUCCAAACACAGAAUUAUGAGAUAGAUCUUUAUCUGAUAGUUUGUUUUGUUAAAUGAAUUUCCUUUUCUAUAAAAUUAGAUUAAUGUUUCUAUCAUAGAGGCGCCAUUAGUAUGUGUAAUCCAGUUGAUUCGUAUAUACCUCAAUAAAUAAGGAAUAAAAGAGAGCAUAUUCUCUUCGUUGGUCUAAGACAGUCGAAAGAAUCUGAUCCAAACUCUACAGUUGGAAGCAAUGUUAAUGUGCUUCUUUUUUUUUUGGCUAUACGUGCUUGCUUUUCCAAGCACCUACGUGGUGUGGCUAAUACGUAUAUAUACGGCGUAUGUCUAAGUUUCUCUAGUAUGCCUACUUCUUUGAGUAUAAACUAUUAAGAUAGAUAGAUUUCCAACCUAAAACUGAUUGGUGAUAAGUGGAGUUGUCCUUCUAUAUCUUAUAUAUUACUCCAUUCGUUUCACAAUAAGUAUCAGUUAGAUAUAUAUUACUCACUUCGUUUCAUAAUAAGUGUCAGUUAGACAUAUUUCAUGCAAAUUAAGAAACUAACAAAAUAUAAUAAUUUCUUAUCUAUUAAAAGAGAAACAUUGUAAUAAAUGUAUUCACACACUAUAAUAGAUACGUGGCAACCUCUUAAUGAUUUGAUAAUAAGUAUGCUAAUGAGUUCACACUAUAUUCAUAAAUAUGUUCACACUAUGUACAUUGCAUUUUUUUAAUAUAAAACUCACAUACAUGGUUCCAAUAAAACUCUGGAUUUUUCUUCAGUUAGAAUAAAAAUAGAUAAUGAAUCAAAAGCCGAACUAUAUAUAUUAUUUUUAUUGUUUACGGAUAAAGUUGAGCAAAAUAUUCAUAAAUUUUGAUUCGAUUCGUUAUCCGUUUUGAUUUGAAUCAAAAACUCUGGAUAUCUGUAACUCUACGAAACAAAUCAGAUACUAAAAUACAAUAUCCAAAAAAGAAGCAAAUCACAAAUACCAAUAUUUUUAGGAACAUAUAUCUAAUUUGAUAUGUUAUAUGCAUAUAUAUACAUAUAUGUAAAGAAUUAUAUAUAUAUAUAUAUGUUAUAUAUAUUAUACUUUAUAUCAGUUUUAUAAUAUUUUUAUGAAUUAAAUUUAUUAUAUUAGGUACUAUAAUUUAAAAGGUAAAUAAUUUUUAAUUUUUGUAAUAAAAUGUUAUUAUUAAAAAAAUUUAAUUAUUUUUAAAAUUUUAUUUUAUUUACGGAUCAAAUUGGAUAUUCUUUAAAAUUCUAAAACAUUUCGGAUAUCCGAGUCACCGAAUAUCUAGGUGGCUAAAGAUCGAAUCGACACGAAUGCUUCCAAAUACCCAGAUAUUCGAUCUGUGCCAACCCCUAUUUACGGAUACAAUUUUAUUUUCUUUAUAUGAAAAAAUGACUAAUGCCAAGGCCUUUUUUAUUUUAAAUUAAUUUUAAUUUUAUCUUUCAUGUAUUAUGUUGAACAAAAAAUGUCAUUUAAUAUUAAUUAACAAUAUUUUUAUAUAUUUGUCAACUAUUUUUAUAUAUUUUUUACAUACACAUAGAUGUGCACCUUGAUGUGAGCACUUUGUAACUAAGUGUUCACCACAACUGAAGUAUCUAAUUUUUUAAAAAGUUGAAAUAUUUUGUCUUAAUGCUUCUUUCACUACUGACCAAAUUGUAGUGAAAUGAUUUGUCUUAAUAAUUUUCUUUUCUUUUUCUUAAACUACUAUCUGUUUAGAAACUAUAGUACGAAACUAUUGGUUCGACAUGACGACUAUCUAAAAUUCAUAACAUGAAAAUAAAUAAAUAAUAUUAAUUUUUGGUUUUUACUGAAAAAAACCAAAAAAUCAAGCAUUUUAACCAAAUAAACGAAAAUGAAUAUUAAUUUAAAAUAAGUUAUAUUUUAGAAGAUUAAAUCUAAAAAAAAAACUUAAAACCGAACCAAUAUCCAAAUUAAACAGAUUUAGUGUCUUUUUAUUAAAAAGUAACGAAACUAAUAAUCACAUUCUGCACAGUCGACCUUUAUUUAUUAUGCAACUAUUUAAAUAAAAAUGAUUUAACUAAACAUCUAUUGGUCAUUUAAAAGGGUAAGAAAGUGAUUAAUGUUAAAACUUACAUUGAAAAUGUAGAAUGACAUUUAUUUUGAAACAGAAUAAAAAAAAAAAACUAAAUGACAUUUUUUUAUGAAACAGAGUAGUAAGGAUCCCUUCCACUUUGUGUCUAAUAUAGACUAUCAAUUAUUCUGCAAAAAAAAAAGUAUACCAAUUUAUAGAAUUACUUGAUACCAAAAAGUAGAUAUUGUACAGGUGACGGGGAUUUUGAGAUAUAUUGUUGGCAUUAAAAUCACAUACACCAAGAACGAUGCAUAGAUUUUAGUGUAUGUCGAUUUGAUCUUCUCUAUAUGUGUUUGACUAAAAAGUCAAAAUGUACAUCUUAGCUCGAAGUACGAUUGUUUGGCCUGCAUACAAGUGAACAACCUAUGCUCCCUUGGUUCGUUUGAAAGGUAUUAACAUUAAACAAACGACAUUUGAAAGGAACAUUGAACAAACAUAAUUUUUCUAUUGGUUCAAAAAUCAUAUUUUUCUAUGUAUUGUUUUUCUUUAUAAACGAUUGUGCAUCUUUCAAGAUGCGACCCAAAAUUUUAC
RNA transcript from Brassica rapa (field mustard), 10177 nucleotides. RefSeq lists it as uncharacterized. The record is from RefSeq and is a predicted model, not a curated record. NCBI's taxonomy places the organism in Eukaryota, Viridiplantae, Streptophyta, Magnoliopsida, Brassicales, Brassicaceae.